RNAcentral lists this ribosomal RNA (502 nucleotides) under uncultured bacterium. Its description in RNAcentral is "partial 16S ribosomal RNA". It matches the Rfam family "Bacterial small subunit ribosomal RNA", at positions 28 to 507 of the family's 1533-position model. The record is from RNAcentral.
GACGAACGCUGGCGGCGUGCUUAACACAUGCAAGUCGAACGGUGAAGGGGUCUGCUUUUGUGGGCCCUGGAUGAGUGGCGAACGGGUGAGUAACACGUGAGUAACCUGCCCCCUUCUUCUGGAUAACCGCAUGAAAGUGUGGCUAAUACGGGAUAUUCUGGGUCUGUCGCAUGAUGGGUCUGGGAAAGAUUGCGCCUUUGGGUGUUUUUGGUGGGGGAUGGGCUCGCGGCCUAUCAGCUUGUUGGUGGGGUGAUGGCCUACCAAGGCGGUGACGGGUAGCCGGCCGGAGAGGGUGGACGGUCACACUGGGACUGAGACACGGCCCAGACUCCUACGGGAGGCAGCAGUGGGGAAUAUUGCACAAUGGGCGCAAGCCUGAUGCAGCGACGCCGCGUGAGGGAGGGAGGCCUUCGGGUUGUAAACCUCUUUCGCCAGUGAAGCAGGCCUGCUCCUUGUGGGUGGGUUGACGGUAGCUGGAGAAGAAGCGCCGGCUAACUACGUG